AAGUCGUAACAAGGUUUCCGUAGGUGAACCUGCGGAAGGAUCAUUACCAAAUCCAAAAUACCCAAACCCCAUGUGAACUAUUGUAUAGUCUGUCUUUGGGAGAAAGUUUGUUUUUGUUUUUUUUUUUAUUCAAAAAAAAAGGAAGAGUCAAUUCUUUCUCCCAAAAGAGUCCGGCAUAUCUGUAAAGAUGUGUCCAGAUUCUGAAAACCCUCUAUUUUAAACCACUUGAUUUUUUUUGUUGGAAUUUUUCUUUUAUUAAUUUAAAAAUAAAAGACAACUUUUAACGGCGGAUCUCUUGGCUCGUG
Molecule: unclassified non-coding RNA, 305 nt
Filed under: fungal sp.
Lineage: Eukaryota; Fungi
Description: partial internal transcribed spacer region
Rfam family: Eukaryotic small subunit ribosomal RNA (bases 1-46)
Source: RNAcentral